Molecule: ribosomal RNA, 669 nt
Filed under: uncultured fungus
Lineage: Eukaryota; Fungi
Description: eukaryotic LSU rRNA
Rfam family: Eukaryotic large subunit ribosomal RNA
Source: RNAcentral
CCCGCUGAACUUAAGCAUAUCAAUAAGCGGAGGAAAAGAAACUAACAAGGAUUCCCCUAGUAACUGCGAGUGAAGCGGGAAAAGCUCAAAUUUAAAAUCUGGUGGCGCUUUGGCCAUCCCAGUUGUAAUUUAGAGAAGCGUCUUCCGCGCCGGACCGUGCACAAGUCUCCUGGAAUGGAGCGUCAUAGAGGGUGAGAAUCCCGUCUUUGUCACGGAUGACCUGGGCUUUUGUGAUGCGCUCUCUAAGAGUCGAGUUGUUAGGGAAUGCAGCUCAAAAUGGGUGGUGAACUCCAUCUUAAGCUAAAUAUUGGCGAGAGACUGAUAGCAAACAAGUACCGUGAGGGAUAGAUGAAAAGCACUUUGGAAAGAGAGUGAAACAGUACGUGAAAUUGUUGAAAGGGAAACGUCUUGAAGUCAGUCGCGUCGUCCGAGACUCAACCUCGCCUCGACUCGGUGUACUUCUCGGCCGCACGGGUCAGCAUCAAUUUUGCCCCUUGGAUAAUGGCGAGGGAAAUGUGACACACUUUACGGGUGUGUUAUAGUCUCUCGUCGCAUGCAAGGGUCGGGAUUGAGGAACUCAGCACGCGCCUUCGGGUGUCGGGGUAUGGCCCACGAUACGUGCUUAGGAUGUUGGCGUAAUGGCUUUAAACGACCCGUCUUGAAACACGG